Molecule: ribosomal RNA, 279 nt
Filed under: Triticum aestivum (bread wheat)
Lineage: Eukaryota; Viridiplantae; Streptophyta; Magnoliopsida; Poales; Poaceae
Description: partial small subunit ribosomal RNA
Source: RNAcentral
AUGCCACUGCGCCGACAUCGACCCCAACCACUCUCGGCGUUUACCUUGCCGUCGUGUGUCGGGUGCCUCGACAGAAGGCCAGGAAUGCUCCCCGUGGUGCGGCCAACCCUUCUCGGUGCCGCUCAACUUCCCCACCACGCAUCCGCUGGGCUCUCGCCUGGAUGGACGCUCUUCCCGGCAACUCAACCAUGGAGUGUACGUCGCGCCGGGGAGGUCUCCAGCCAGUGGACGUUUUUCUUUUCGGCCUCGAAGGGCUGGGGUAGUGGUGACAUCGGGUAG